GGAGACUGUUUCCAUUUGGGGGCAACUCUGGUUGCUGGGAUGUGGGGGACCUCCUUUAAUAGCCGCACCCCCACCCGUGGCCUCUGCCCAAGCUGACUUUGCUCGUCCAUCUCUCCCCUGGGCCGCCGAGACCCCCCCGCCGCCCCACUCCCCCCCGCCCCGUCUCCCCGGCGGACAGACCUCAGCAGCCCUCAGGACGGCAGACCGACUCCAGGUCUUCGUAAACCGGCCGGGACUGUUAAACACAUCCUAUAAUUAGAAGGCAGGUUUUCUAAACGAAGUGAAAAAUGGAACGUUCCCCUUUGUUUGUUCACUGGAUGCUCAGUGCAUGUCCCAUGACCCAGAGGAGCUGUGACUUUGGGUUUCCAAGAAGCCUUAAUAAGGUAAUGUUUAUAAAGUUGUUCGCUUUACAACUCCGCCGGAGCACAACUCUGUGAAAUGAGGACAAGCCCUCGUUCCGAGAGAGCUGCCCCUCCUCGCCCUGUCCCAGGGGUGGAGAAGCCCGUCCCCUUCCGCGGUGCGCAGAGCCUGGGGUUGAAGGAAGCGGGUUCUGGCCCCUGCUCUGACGCGGAUUGCUGUGUGACGUUGUGUCAGUGCCCCUCCCUCUCUGGACUUGUUUCCCCACGUGUGAGAGAGAAGCCGUGAUGAGACUUGCUUGUUCUAAGAGUCGCUUCUGACUUCAAUGUCCGGCAGUUUGGUGUGUGUCCCUCUACGACGGGGUUUAUGUCCAGCAAGGAGUCCGCUCCAGAGCUGACCUCCCUUCUCGGGGCUUCUCGGAAGAACUUGGUGAUAGGCCUCGAACGGGACACAUCGGGGCUGGAGCUGCCAGGACCAUGGAUCCGUCUCUUGGUGCCUCAGCGCUUGAACCCUUGCAGUCCUCUCUCAGGAGAGAAGAUGCGUAAACGGUCAUGUGACAGUGACUUGCAGGAAACAAGCUCUGCGAAGGAAUUUCAGUUGCGGCUCACGAGCAAGAAGGCUGCCCGUGUCCCGUCGGGAGGUGGCAGCCCCGCGGGGAGGACAGCACUCUGCUCACGCCAUUCAAAACCCGGCACCUGUGGAGCUCUUUCUGUGAGCCCGACUCUGGCCCCUCGGUCGACCUCACAGCAGACCUGCGGAGCGGGUGCUUGUCAUCAGCCUCACCUGACAGAUACUGUAUUUAUGAGAACUGACCUCCCGAUGGAAAUUUGGCAAGAUUUCACGUUCUGGAGACGUUGUACCUUCCAGCCCGUGUCCCGAGGACGGAGGUCGCGGGCUUCCCAGGAGAUGCGGCGUUCCCCUGGGUGCAGGAGUACCGGGGACCGAGAGGAGGGGCCCAGCAGAGCCCCAGGCCCCAGGCGGGUCCUCCAGCGGUGAUGUUGGUACUCCGUCCGUCCUGCAUAAGACCGUGAGCUCAGGAACAGGUCUGGCCGUCCACUGCUGUGUGCCCAGGGCCUGGCACGUCGUAGGUGCUCAGGGUCCAUUUGUUAAAUGAAGGGAGUAAACCCUUCUCGAGAACUUUGAAGGGUCUUCCUUGCCUGUACUGAAGGUCACGGCUCCUGGAAAUUACGGAGCCUCCCAGACAAGGCUUUAAACUGCCACCUGGGGCAGCAGCUCGGCGUUGGCUCCCAGCAGGUUCAGGCCAGAGAGCAGCCUCGGCAGGAGGCUUGGGCUGGGGUUCCCUGCAGCCCUAAGAGCCUGCCGGUUCCCGAGGCGGUUUUCUGGUGGGGGAGGUGGGGUGGGGGCUGGUGCCCUGGCUCUGGCAGUCAGGUCGGGCUGCUGCCAGGCCCCCCAGCGGUGGGUAGUGCGUAGCCUCAGUUUCGCUGGUCUCUUAGCAGGUCCUGUCCUGGUACAGUGGGUCCCUGGCUCCUGAGCCAGGUGCUGAGAGGCACGUGUGAAUAAGGCAUGUUUGCUGCUUGCGAGAAGCUUCCGCCCAGUGACUCUUCGGAGCAAUAACAGAACAUGCACACGCAAGACUCCAAGCACAAAUUCACGGCCACACAGCCACACACCGAGCCAGUACAGUGACUGCAGCACCGUCUGAGCCCACAGCAGCAGCCACCACGUCCAGAGGCUGCCAUCCCCGGAGAGCCAAGAUCCUAUCUUUUCCGCUCUGCAGAAGAAACUAAGGCUCAGAGAAGUCAGCCCGUCCACCCGUCCCUCCUUCGCCUGUCUGACCGCCUUCCGUGGGAAAAGCUCUGCUGUGGGGCAGGAGCCCCCGAAGCCCAGGUUCCCACGCCUCCCUCAGGCCUGCCUCUGACCGGCCGUUUGCUGGUUGGCCAGGGUUCCCACUUAGGAUAGCCUUGAGGGCACAUGACCUCUCAGGGGUUUCUGGAAACCAGGGCUGGGAGAAGGGGGCCUCCUUCUUGGUCCCAGGAUGGAAACUCAGGGAUGUCCCUGGGUCCGUCCUUGAGUCUCCACAGCCCCUGCCUGGGUACCUGGGUACCCACAGACCCCCCCCCCCCAUUAGGAGGGUCUGGCCCAGCUCCUGGUUCUCUCCUGACCAGGCAAGGGGCCCAGCCUGGCCCAGGGCUGUGCGUAUAAGGUUUGGGGAAGAAGAGUAAGAACUGGAAGACUGAACUGCUCAGAGCAGCCUCAGCCAGCUCCGCACCGGCUCGGAGGGCCUGCCCGGCCUUGGUUUCCUCGGGGUAGAACGGGGAAGGGCGGGGAGCCCCGGGGCCCCGGUCGGGGCCUUGUCAGGGUACAGGUCCCUGGGCCUUCUCUUUCACAGCUCCAGGGCCAGGGCCUUGGACUCGGGUAACAAACGCACAGAAGCUGCAGGCGGCGCAGAUGAGGAGAGUGUCGUGGUUUCAGGUCCUGAGAAUCCAGUUGGAGCCCCGUCUGCUUUUAAUUUCCCCGCCUUUCUGUGGAUGCGGUGGGGGGGCUCCGCUGCAGGUCUGUCGGCCCCCACCACCAGCAGGAGUGGAGGGGCAGCAAGGAGGCCGCCCGCACUGCCGCCAGGGUGCCCCAGCCCCAGCCCCUCCCGCGCGAGUGCAGGGCCGGGACAGCCCGGGGUGGGAGUGGGGCCCUUGCCGCUUGAGGAGGUAUUUUCGGAGUCCCCCUCCCUUGAGCGUUUGCAGCGAUGGAAUAGAGCCUGUCUAGUAUUUGACCAAAUAUGGUGGGGUCUCUUGUGAGCUCGAGCCUCAGCCAGCCUCUCGGUCACGCUGUGGAAACCUGCCCUGGGGAGAUUAAUCUUGGGACGUUCCGGAGCGCCUCGCACCCUGAGCGCUUCCCCCGGCGAUUCCUGUAAAUGGCCAAGCGCGGCCGCGAGCAGGAGGGUGCCGUCUGGAUGCCCGCUCGUGGUGUCGUCCCCCGCCCCCGGGACUCGCUCACUUUCGGCCGGGCUGUUCCCUUGCGGGGAGAGACCCAGCCCAGCAGGGCCAGUCUGUUCAGGGCAGGGUUCCAGGACGCGUAGACCCGGGGGUCACCGGAGCUCACAGACUUGGAGCCAGGCCCUGGGAAGCCCAGGGCCGUGUCGCCAGGAGAGCGGGCCGAGGGGGGCAAAGGAGAGUUGGCUGAGCAGCGGGAACCGUGCUUGCUCUCACGUGAAAUGGAACAGCUAAUGUUUAGAAUAAGCAUUAUGUCAUUAUUUUCUAAUAAUUUCCAUAAUUACCUGCUGUGUUUAUUGAGCAUAUACUAUGUGCCAGGCACUGGGCCAGCUGUUUCGCCUGGGGGAUUUCGCUCUGUCCUUGUAACAGCCCCCAGAUACUGUCACGUCCUUGUUCCAAAGAUGGAGGGGCUGAGACUCAGAUUUCAGAGGGGACGGGGGCAGGCUCACUGUCACACUGUCCAUCCCUGGGCACAGCCCCCAUUUUACAGAGAGAGACACUGAGGCCGAGAGAGACAGGACGCCACAAGCAGCCACGCGGGGCAGGCCCCGGCGAGCCCCUUUGCACGAGGGGCCGUGCUGCGCCCGGGGGCCAGGACAACCAGCCGGAGGCCUUCGCAGACCGUGGCUUGGCCUGUGCCGGAGCUCUCGGAUGCAGGAGCGUGUUCAUGGCAGGCCAGAGCCGUGCAGACAACGGGCCAAGACAAACAGAGUGGGGUGGUGGUUGAAGCCCUGCGCGGGGCCCAGGAAUGAGCCCUAGCUCUGUCGCCUCUCGCUGCUGUGCCACCCUGGAUAGGUUCCUUCUUUGUUCUGGCCUCAGUUUCCUGCCUGAGAUCUAAGGGGUGGGACUCUGGGCACCCAGGGCCCCGCGCUCCCCUGAGGCUGGCUGAGGCCAGGGUGCCUGCGGCCGCCUCCCUGGGGGCUGGGGCCAGCACCCUUCGAGAACAUUUGCUCUCCCGACCAACGGACAGCCUGUGCCUCCUCCGCCCUUGCCCCCUUGCUGUCCCCAGACCAACGAAGCGGAUUGUCUUCACCGGCCCUGUGGGUGCUGGCUGGGCGGCCGGCCGCAGGCCACAGGCGGAGGUGCCACCCGCCAGAGCCCCGCCAGACACACAGGGCAUUGUCCCUCGGUCAACAGCCCCUGGGCACCUCGGCCCAGCUCCUGGCCUGCCCCCACGCCCCUCGCUGCCUACUGCGCCAGGCCCAGCCAGCUGGGGCCCUAGGGCUCCCAGGCGAUGAUGAGCCCACCCACCCACGCCCCCAGCAGCCCCCUGAUGAGCUAUAAUUGCUUCGCUCCGUCCUGUUGCUGCCACUCUCUGGGCGGCGGCAUCUGGGCUCCGGGCGGGCGGCAGCUGCGGGCCGGUCGCCGGGCUCACGGGAUGGACUGGCUGCACCACCUGGUACGUGGCGAUCCCCGCCCCACCCCCGCUGCUUUUAGGGCUCGAGGGUUUCGUUGUUUCUUUCCUACGGAUUCAUGGCAGCCUCUGUUUGGCUUGGAAUCUGCAGAGGCGAGCUUUCCUCUGUCCGGUCCCUGAGGGCGAGGAGGAAACAGGCUGGUCGCAGAGCCUGCAGCCAGGGCAGGAGCUCCGGCCCUGAGCAGGCUCAGCCCCCGCCACACUGGAGCCCUUUCAGGCCACGGCUGCGGGGCCUUCCUGGCAAACAGUUAUCAGGCUUUUUCCACAGAGUCUCCCGGUCCCGAGGUCCGCGCUGUGGGACCUUGGGCAAGUCCCGUUUGUCCUUCUCUCUCUCUUUUUUUUUUUUUUGUCUUUUUGUCCUUCUCUUCUGUAACGGGAAGGAGGCUUUGAUUCUGUCCUUGGAGGAGUGGAGAGCCAGGGUUAAGAACGCCGUGUGAGCAGCUCAGACAAGAGAGCCUGUUGUUAGGGGACAUUUUUCUACCCCAGAAUCAAGGACCAAAAAGGAAGAAUUCAGCGACUUGAGGCUGUCACAGAUUUUGCGCCAAGAAGUGGUUGCGCCAAGAGGGGCUCUGCUGAAACUUGUUUCCAAGGGCCCAGGCCGCCGGGGUGGGUAGAUGGGCACGAGCUAUGUGAGCCGUGGGGGAGCCUGGCUUGACUCCGGGAGGGACCAGCCCUGGCCCCCAUCCAAAUCGCGGCCCUUUCCCCUAGCCCCCUGAGGCGUCUGCAUUCUGCUGGGCCUCCGAGUUCUCUGCUGUGUGUGCGUGAGAGGCUUUCUUUAUGCUCUGGUUCCAGGGGCAAGAGGUGGACGACGGCCAGCGAGGGUGGACACGGGGCAGGGCAGGCGGAGGGCUGGGGCGUGGAGGAGGGGUACAGGUGUCACGGAGGCCGCAGGGACCCUGGCCCGGACCUGCCGUCUCCCAGCUUCGUCUCACAGCCCCUGCUUCCCGCCCCGUUUCAGCCUCACUGCUCCCUUUCAGCCACGUUCUCAACCAGCCGAAACUUCCACGCACACACACGGUUCCCACCCGCCCCACCCGGCACUGGCGUUCCGGGCUCGUCUGUCCACAUCUGCCUCCCCCCGUGCCCUUCAGACCCCUCCCCAGAUGGCUCUGCAGGACCCCCGCUGCCACGAGGCUGGGCAAGCGGCCCCCUCUUAGACCACAGCGCCUGGUCCCGGGCUCACACUCGCGCAGCGAGGCUUAGGUGCUUGUUGUCUUGCUCACCCCGUUCUCCUUGCCGGGCCGGAAGCUUCAGAAGGGCAGCCACGGCGACAGGCGUUCCCUUGUUCAGCCGGUGUUUACUGAAUGCCUAAGUGCCCAGAACCGUGGAAACGCAGGGACAGGACAGUGUGCGGCAGUGGACACAGGGCUGGCCCUCACGGAGCCUGUGCUCCGUGGGGGGCAGACCUAUAAACGAGUCACACGUCCACCCUGCUAAGACGUGCGGAGAGCCCAAGGUGGUCCCGGAGGCCUCAGAGGGGCGAGAGGCGGGACCCUGCGAGAGGAGCACAGGGCGCGGGGGUGAGAGGAAGCCGGAGGCCGAGGCACAGAUGCAAGGAGCUGGGAGGGCCGUGAGGAGGGAGGGCUCGGCGGCGGCAGACAGGCCAGGAAGGCGGCUUGGCACACCCGCCCACAGCUCCGUGCUCGGCCGGGGCGUGGGGAGUUGAUGGGAAGAGCCGGUUGGGGCAGACGCGGGAGGCUGUUGAGCCGUCCAGGCGGGCGGGGCUGCGGUGCUGGUGGACGGGUGGACGGGUGGUGAGACCUGCAGGAGGAGCAGCGGGACUUUGCAGGGAGUGUGGGGCAUACGUGUGCCGGACGCGCGUCUGGCGGGCUGGUGGGACCAGGCCAGGCAUGGCAGGGGAGGGUGGCCGCCCCAGAGGCUCCCCCCGCCAUGAGCCCCAAGUCUUUGCCCAGAGGGCGACCUGGCGUUCCCGCCUUUGACCCGUGGCCUUCUUCCGCAGCUCUUGCUUCUCACCAUCUCCGUCUUCCUGGGGCUGGGCCAGCCCAGGAACCCCAAAGGCAAGCGGAAGGGGCAAGGGCGGCCUGGGACCCUGGCCCCUGGCCCUCAGCAGGUGCCGCUGGACCUGGUGUCCAGGGCAAAGCCGUUUGCCCGCAUGGAGGAAUACGAGAAGAACCUUGGGGACAUGGUGGCCCAGCUGAGGAACAGCUCUGAACUGGCCAAGAGGAAGUGUGAGGUCAACCUGCAGCUCUGGCUGUCCAACCAGAGGAGCCUGUCACCCUGGGGCUACAGCAUCAACCACGACCCCAGCCGCAUCCCCGCGGACCUGCCGGAGGCGCGGUGCCUGUGUCUGGGCUGUGUGAACCCCUUCACCAUGCAGGAGGACCGCAGCAUGGUGAGCGUGCCCGUGUUCAGCCAGGUGCCCGUGCGCCGCCGCCUCUGCCCCCUGCCGCCGCGCACCGGGCCCUGCCGCCAGCGCGCGGUCAUGGAGACCAUCGCCGUGGGCUGCACCUGCAUCUUCUGAGACGCUCUCCCCGCGCCCCCAGCCGCGAGCCAGGCAGCGGCGGGUGAAGCGAGACCUCGGGUCUGCUCCUGGGGCUCCGAAGCCAAAAGCCGUGGGAGGUCGAUUCCGGCAGAGACGAAGGAGGACCCGUCACCCGGAGGCCUCCACCGCGGAGACAGCGCAUUAAACGUUUCGUUCAUUCCUACCACUUGGGAUGGCCAGACGCGUUCUUGAAUUGGAGUUGAUAAGCCUACAUUUCAGCCAUGGGAGUGGAGCUUGAGUGGAUUCUGGCUAAAAUUAUCCCGGGAAGCUUCGGCCCGGUUCCAGACACAUGGAAACAGACUUCAUGUGCCAGUGCAGGCUGAUCUGUCCGCAGCCGCCUCCUCCCGAGGGGCUGCUCUUGCCUGAGGCCCCGCAGCUGCUCUCCAGGCCUUAAGACUUCAGCUGCAGCCAAGGGACCCACGGCCUCCAGAGCCUUUCUGCGGGGGUACAGUCCAGCCGGUGCCUUGGGCACCCCUCCUCCUCUCGCCCCGGGAUGCCCCCCGCCGGCUCCGCCCAGCCCUACCUCAUGAACUUCUCCAUGACCUCCUCCACCCACAGCUGCAGCCUCAGGAAGCUGAUGCCGUAGUGCCACCAGAGGCGGAAGAGGUUCAGCAGGUACCAGUCGGUCUCCUCCAGCACCAGGCUCUCCCCGUUGAAGAUGGCACUCCUGCCUCCCACCUCUCGCCGGUGCCGCAGCCCUGCCGAGACAGGACAAGGCCCUCAGGGGAUCCACUCAGCCAAGAACAAGGGAACUUCAGCCAUCGUCCUGGACCGUCCAGGGGCAGACGGCCCCAGGGCUCGUGUUGGAAUGGCUGACCUGGGCACAGAGGCCACGUGGAGGCUCACAGCUCCCAUCCCGGAGUCACCAGGUCCCCCUCCCCAGAGGCAGCUAGGAAACGCUGCUCUGAACCUCCUGACGCGCGUCUCAGAGAUUGUGCUGUACCUGCGCCCACAGGACGUCCGCACCCUGGCUGCUCCAAAGUCUGUUCUGGCUCUGAGAUGCUGCCCGGAACCGCUGUCCAGACAGAUGCCAACCGCUAACGCGCACCGAGAGGACAGGAAGCAGCUGAGAAGCUCCCGAGUCAGACGGCCCCCCGAGGAUCCAAGACACGGCGUCCCUUCACUCAAGAGUCUAGUAACCGACCCACCGGGGGAACGAGAUACUUCUGAGAAACUGCUGUCACAGGGCCUGGAAGCUGCCCUAGGGCCACAGGGAAGCUGAAGGCCCCACCUCAUGGAGAACUGGCUCAUUCGAUGCCCUCGACCUGACACCCACUCUCUGGUCUCUGGACUGCCUCCUACCCCCCCGCGAGGUUCUGGCUGAGCCGGUCCUUCUAGGAAGCCCUCCCAGAGCCGCAGAGACUGGACGAAGUGCCCCCUCCAGAUGCACGGUCGAGCACUAACUUCCUGGAAUUGUGCAGACGGGGACUCUGGGGCACUGCGCCUGCUACUCCGUGACCCUCAGUAUGGAUGGUUCACAGCAUCCAGACAGGCCAGAGUCUCGUUCCUGGGGGCACCUGGCAAAGAGCCAGGUCCACAGCCCAUGCUCAGUGCUCCUGGACUUUCCGAAGUUCCUGGGCCAAGGAUUCAACCCACGCUACAGCAGUAACGAGAGUCACAACAGUGGCAACACUGGAUGCUGAACCUGCUGAGCCAUCAGGAAACUCCUAUAUUCAGGUAACUGGAGCCAUGUUUUAAAACCUCUAGUGCACUUGAGAACGUGGGCAGCGUCUGCGUGGAUAGGAACAACAUACUUACCAAGGACCACUGGGAACACGGAUGAUGGAGCCAAGACUGGAAGAGUGACGACAAUGCAAGGCCAAAGCUACAGGGGAGGCUGGUUCCAGAGGGGUACUUAGCCAGGAGGCUGGGUAUGUGGAUGCCCGUGGGAAAGCAGAGGCAAAGACAAGGCCAGGCCACGGUCAGGAAGCACACAUGGAAGCAGAGGGCCAUGUGCCAGUCAUCUGGCUGAGAGGACGGCCAGAAGUUCUGCAGCUCAAGUGAAAAGAUUAAAGCAGGAAAACAACGAGAACUAAGCAGCCAGCACAAGAAACUGAGGCCGUGCUGGAGAAGAAGGCGGCACAGGAGUCCGGACCUGCGGAGGUGGGAAACCGACAAGACUGGGCGCGUCCACUGAGCGUCAGCAAAGUAGGCCAGCCAGUGACGUGACCGUGACAUGUCACCACACAACGUGAAUCUGGACCAGAGACACUAAACGCAAGAGACACAGUUAUUUCAAUUAAGGUUUUAUUGAAACUGUUUCUGAAGAUUCUGUUUCAUCCUCAGUUUUCCUUACUUGAUUUCGCUUUAGUGUCAAGGAAUCUUUCUUCACUGAUCAAAUCCUUUGCCAUGAAAAAGCACCACAUGAUGUAUAUCAGCAUCGAACAGAAUGAUCCCUUUAUGGCAGUGAGGAAAAUCCGUAAAAGCUUUGUGGAACCCAAGGACCCAACGCCAAGACCCCCUUCAGAUGAGCCAAACUUCUUCGCACGCCCAUCUACAAGCCAAUAAAUAAUACUCUUUUCACUUUACCAUCAAGAUGAAAAUAAUUAAGAAGAGUAAAGCAAUUUUUUUUCUCCAGUCAAAAAAAAUGAGGAUUUCUCUGUUAUGGUUAAAACACACACACACACACACACACACACACAAGCUGAAAAAAAAAAGUUCACUGUGAUUGAUUAGCUUAUGUUCCUUUUUUUUUUUUUUUUUAAAGUCAAGUACCACUUAACCAGUCUUCUCCGUCCCCUAGACUUUAGGUAAUAAUAAAAACAUCAGAAAAACAAUGUGCAUAAUAAAAUGUCGUAAAAAAUAUUUGAGGGCCUACUCUAAUAGUCAGUUGGCACGUUUCACUUAAUCUUUGCAAUAUCUUGAGGAUUAAAACCAUUUCACAGGCAGGGAAGUGGGCUCAGCAGAGUGAGUGACGGUCGUGCAGAGUCAGUGCCUGCAGGGCGUUCGCUUUAUUGUGCUGCGCUGGCUCCUGCAAGCCCGUCAGCUUUUUGAGAUUCUCACCGUUGCAGCUCCAUCUUCUAAAUUAUACUUUUAAGUCUGCAAAACUACUGAAUAAUAGAAGAAUCUAAAAUUAUUUUUAAUGUGCUUGCUAAAAUAGGAGGCUGGAAGGAAUAUUAAAAACUCUUCAAGUACUUAGAACAUUGCAUCCCGAACGUUGCGGUUCUUCUCACUCACUCGUAAUAACUAGUAACCCGAGAACACACAGGAGAUUACAGUGGGCUCAAUUUGGGGGUCACCAUUUGCCACUAUCAAAGGAACGAAGGCAAAGAAAGACAACUUCCUACCGUGAAUGCGGACUGCUCACUAUGGUCACAGAACGCACUCAGUGGAGUGCCAGAGAGGUUCUGGUUUUAAAAUCUCACCUCCCGUCUUUUGUGUGCAUCUUAGAAGCAAGUAUUUGUUCUUUUAAGGUGUCUCAACCUGAUGGAGCCGGUCAGACUUUGUUGACACGUCCGUGCAGUGCGCCAGAACCAGCAAGGACAUCCGGGAGGGCAGCCUUCACCACUCCGCGGAGCGGGGUCUCGAAGUUCAGGUAGAGAUUUACUUACUUUAUGGGUGACUAACUGACACCUAACCCUGGGUAAUGCGGACACCUAAACACAUUUAAUUGUCUGCUGGGGACAUAUUUGCAUGUUUGUUAUAGAACUUGUGAAUCUUUUUUUUUUUUUUGCUUUUUAGGGCCGCACCCGCGGCAUAUGGAGGUUCCCAGGCUAGGGGUCUAAUUGGAGCUCCCAGCUGCCGGCCUACGCCACAGCCACAGCAACGAGGGAUCUGAGCCAGGUCUGCAACCUACACCACAGCUCACAGCAACACCGAUCCUUAACCCACUGAGCGAGGCCAGGGAUCGAACCCGCAACCUCAUAGUUCCUAGUCGGAUUUGUUUCCGCUGCGCCAAAUGGGAACUCUGAAUCCUAAAUGAUUGAAGUUAAUAUCUAGUUGUUUCUUAAAUUCGUACUGACAUUUCAUUUACUAGAGAUUUUUUUUCUCUGAGUCUGGUCCUAAAAAGACUAUUUUCACACUUUAGAAGAGCUCAAAGGGUGAGAUUAUACAGUCAUUAACGCUGCUUCUAACUUCAAAGUAUCCCUAACGACCUCCUGUCUAAUGUCUGAUUGAUGUGUCAUUCAUUCACUGACUCGUUAUUGAAUAACCUUUGACAGGACACAAUCAAUACCAAGUCUGAACUAAAACAUACAUUCAUAGGCUCAUUAACUCUAGGAGGUCAAGACAUAAAAGGGAAGCUAGAUGUUUACACACGAGACAUAAGACAGAUACAAAAACUAGGAAAUAAAGCUUGUCAGUGUCAGAGAGGUAGUGAAUUGUCAUACCAACCCUCCAAAAAACCCCCAAGGCAAAACACCUCCCAAACCCAGCAGAACCACAUGAAAUGGCAAUGAGAAAUCUCGGGGAGCUAAUGGUUUUGUCCCGACCACCUCUCCACAUAAUCUCAUGCAGGACCACAAAGUACACUGACCAAAUGGCCGGGGAUUUAAGGAGAAGUCAGGGGCAAAGGACCUACACAGACGGAUGUAGGGCCUUAGCUGCUGGGCCGCCUCCAUCUCCCUGAAAUGAUUAUAGAAGCAGAAGGGCUGAAGCUGGUCUGGCGACAGCUCAGCCAAGCAAGCUCAGGGCUUCUUGGCCGUACUUGCUCCAAAGGGAUCUGGAUGUUUGAUUUCUUGUUGCAUCCCCCCCACGUCUUGCCUGGGCCUUUAGUUUUGCGAAUGGGAGUUGAAAAGGGCCAGUGAGUACGGAUAUUCUGAAGUCUACCUGGCGGGAACUACAAGGCCAAAAGAUGGCUAAAAGGAAAAUAAAAUCAAAAGGGGAGUUCCUGAAAAUCUGUGUGCAUAAAAAUCAACCCAAAUGAUCUAAAUUCCUCCAGCUCUGCAGCCUGCUCUUUCGGGACCCACAUAAUGAACCAAUCCCACCAUCGCCUCUUCCUACAAACACAAGGCCCUAUACAGGUCCUGCUACAGGGACCCUUCGAAGGAAUGUUUAGUUGAAAGUACAUAAACAUAUACUCAUUUCCACCUUUAAAAGAGAUUUUGGAUUGGAAGUCAUCCGAGUACCAAUUUUAAGAUAAUUUUCUUAAACAUAUUUUGAUAAGGCCACAGGAACACUUAUCACACACUGUUCAAAUGCCCAAUGGCAAGACUUCUGAUGAGACCAAACAGGUCACAUGAAAUCAAGAGAGUAUCUUAGAAAUAAAGCCAAUAUGACUAAAUCCAGAACAGAUCACAUGAAGUACCUCAUGUACCAGAGAAACCUCGGGAAAUAAAUAAAGGGAUCCCAGGCGGCUGUGCUCGGGGAGAGCAGCUUCAGAGUCGUCUCUGCGACUCCACGGCCACUUCUACCCGGGCGAGUCUAAUGGUGCGGCCGUGAAGUUUGUAGCCAUCUUGCCUCACCAGUGCCACGGUGCCCGGCUGCACCCCAGCGCCGGCGGGCACGUGACAAAUGAGUUCGUGCUCGUGCGGGUCGUACUGGGCACCAAGGGGGGUCAUCUUCUCCAGGCCGUGUUUGGCAAACACACUCUUCAGCUUUGCUUCCAGAAGCGACAACGCUCGGAAGAUCUUCUCUAGAACGAGCUUCUGGUCCCCAGGCUCGGCCUCUUCAGAAGCACACCCUGCAGUCUUCUCCAGAAGGUCGGCCACCUCCACCAGGUCCUUACAGAAGCUCUGAAUUCCUACAGAGAGACCAGACAUUCUCACUGCUGGUAGGAAAUCACGGCCCAGAGAGGGCGAACCCCAGGUCGCGCCAAGAGCCCCACACGGGAGAGGGGGCUACCCAAGCGAUGGGCCAGCAUUUCUCUUGGGAGACGUAGGACCUGGAAGCUUUCUGGGAAGUGGGGAAGCUGUUCAGAGCCAAGAACUAGGUAAGACUGCAUACCGCGUUCAGAAAGGUUCUCAGGCACCAAAGCAAAGUCCAAUACGGAAAACCUGUAACGCUGCACGCCAUGCAACUGCAGGCGCGUGCUUGGGCUGUGGGAUGGGAAUCCGGUGAAACCAGAUUGUGAUCAUCAUUAUGCAACUACAGAUGUGAUCAAUUCAUUGGAGUAAUAAAAAAAAUGAAAAAAAAAAAAAAAAAAAAAACCAAAAACUGCAGGCACAGCAAAAGUCAUCACAUGUGCCCUUCACGCGUGAACCCCUUACUCAGCUAGCAUCGUCACGAGCAAAUCCGGAACGAGACGUGCUACAUUCGGGGAGAAAUUUCUCAAAGGCUUGGAAAUGGGCCAAAAGCUUAUUCAAUGUCACGACUGCAAAAACAGAUUUGACCCAGGACAGCUUUCAGGGCUGUCGGAUUCCAAGUGGUCCGAGCCUUUGACUCACACCGCAGCAAGCUGGGACGGCUGAGGGUGAUGCAAAGGACUUUUGUCGGCAGUUGUGAAAAUUGGUGGGGACACUGCUGAUCAUCGCACUAUGCAUAUAGACCAGUUCUGCGUGCCUGAAGCAAAUUUCAGCAUUUCUGACGGCCUGUGUAUCUGCUUUUUGGAUUCGCCUCGGAACAUUUUCAUGACUCACUUGUUAAUUAGUGAGUUAAACAGAACUGCCUGUAUAAGCACUGGAAUGUUCACCACAGAGGCUUGAAAACUAAAAUCACAGAGGUCUGGUGAACAGACACGCAAGCGUCAUUUGAGCAAAUGGUUCACUUGACCACAUUCCAAGAGAGCAGGACCAGAGGAGAGCCUGUGGGGAUCCAGGAAGGGUAGGGCGUGGGUGUUUUGCUAAGCAGUGUGCAGCAUGGCGAGCAAGUGCCCUUAAGCUCACAGAUACCUUUAUUAUGAAUAAACCUCUCACCAAAUAUCUUGGCGUCUUCCACACAUCUCUGGGUUCGCCUUCGUAUGUUUUCGCCAUCAGCUACAGCUCUCUGGUACCUGACCUGAGCAUCGAAAGCAAAGCCAAGAUGACAAGAAACCAAAUGCUUUGUUGGUGAAAAAAAGAAACUUUCUGCUUACUUUACAAAUUUCACCCUUGGCAUAGUUUUGUUUGUUUCUGUUUUAAAGGGUCACACUUGUGGUAUAUGGAUGUUCCCAGGUUGGGGCUGAACCCACAUCACAGCCACAGCAGCGUGGGAUCUGAGCCACAUCUGUGACCCAUGCCGCAGCUUGUGGCAAUGCCAGAUCCUUCACCCACUGAGCAAGGCCAGGGAUCAAACCCGCAUCCUCAUAGAUACUAGUCAGGUUCUUAACCCUCUGAGGCACCGUGGGAACUCCGGGAUGAGUUUUAUUAAAAAAAAAAAAAAAUUAGGACUUGUGCAGGAAUCUCAGAUCAGCUAUCCCAAAUUCCAAGUCAGAGUAGAACUCUAACGCAGUUCCGACAGGCUGUCAGGUGGUGUGCUGGUCUGAACAGUCACAGCUGUUUUCAAGCCCCUUAUCUUGAGAAAGAGCUUUCCUUUUCACCAUCAGCCAGCACUGCCGCCUACAACUGCCUUUUGUUGAACUCAAGGACAACCAAGAGUCAAGUGUGAAAAUACCGAUGCGAGGGCAACGACUCUAGCCCCCUCGCCCUUUCCUCUUUCCUCCUCCUCCUCCCUGCUCCCCUCACUACUCUCAAAAGACACACCUUCCAACCUCCUCCCUUCCGAGGGCGGGCGGGGGUCUUGCUUGGGAAUUGCUCUGCUUGCUUAGCUUUCUCAACAUCUACCUGCCCUCCAGCAACGACCCAGUAAGCCAGCUGUGGUCUGACGGCAGAUACUAGCAUCCACGACCGCAUUCGUGCCACAAAGGUUUGCUGAGUGUCUCCCUCAUGCCAGGCACUGCUGCCUUCGAAGCUACCACAGCAUCAGCGAAGGGCUGGGCCACAGCAGGGAAGUGACGAGAGACGCGCGUGUGCAGUCAGCGGUGUGUGUGCACCUGCACCAGACCACCCUGCCGACCCCAGAGCCAGCAAGAGGAAACUCAGUUUAAACAGCCGACUGAAAACCCUUACAGGGAUGUUGAAACCAGCGAGACGACAGGAACGCAGGUGACGCGCAGUCUACUCACGGUCAAGUCCUGGACUUCCUUCUCGAGUUUAACGGCUCUCAGCUUCAAGGCUCGCUCUGUGCGCAGCGGCGGGUCCUCAGAGCCGCAGUCCUCGCCGGCCGUCCUCUGGGUGGCGGUGCUGAAAGGCAGCGGCCGUGCCCUGGAGCGGGAGGGGGUGGCACCUCAUGGAGAAAGGCCAUCCCGAGCGGCCAAACGGCAGCCGAGGUCCGAGACGGAAAGGCUCCCCAGAUGGACCCUCUGGACGAAGCGCCUUCAGUUUCGGGAACAGCAGGAAGACUCACGUGUACCUGCUCGCUGCCGCGGCUGUCAGAGUUUUACUUAAAUCACCUUUUCAACGCACGGCAUGCGAGAGAAACGGUAUUCUCACCCCUAUUUUCUUUCUUUCUUUUUUUUUUUGUCUUUUUGCCAUUUCUUGGGCCGCUCCCACGGCAUAUGGAGGUUCCCAGGCUAGGGGUCGAAUCGGAGCCGUAGCCACCGGCCUACGCCAGAGCCACAGCAACUCGGGAUCCGAGCCGAGUCUGCAGCCUACACCACAGCUCACGGCAACGCCGGAUCGUCAACCCACUGAGCAAGGGCAGGGAUCAAACCCGCAACCUCAUGGUUCCUAGUCGGAUUCGUUAACCACUGUGCCACAACAGGAACUCCCUCACCCCUAUUUUCGAAGCAAGAAAACCGAAGCUCAGAGAGGCUUACGACUUGCUCAGUGUCUCUGAACUGGGACACUGAGCAUCAGGCAGUAGCAGCAGCCGGAAGCAGGAACGUAAAAGUCAGCAAGAGGAGAUCAAAUUGUAACACCUAGAGCCAGCAGGGCACUCGCGGGAGCUAGAAGCACAAGGCCGUACAAUUCAGGUUCGGUCCUUCGCUUUAUUGAUGGGGACAGUUACGCCCGGUAAAGGCACCUCGACUUGAAAUGAGGCCUAUAAUUCUAACACCUAUUUGAUCACAAGCUCUUGCGUACAAGGCUUUUAUGCAAGAGAACGUGCGCUAAGAGAAGAUGAGUUGGGAACUCGCCUAUGUGGAGAAUCGAGUCAAUUAAAACUUCAAAAACGUUUACUGUAAGUUGUGGACUGUGACAUGUAAACAGGUGAAUAAAACAGAUCUUUGUAUUCAA
Non-coding RNA from Sus scrofa (pig), 16311 nucleotides. The record is from RefSeq and is a predicted model, not a curated record. NCBI's taxonomy places the organism in Eukaryota, Metazoa, Chordata, Mammalia, Artiodactyla, Suidae.